CCUACGGGUGGCUGCAGUGGGGAAUAUUGCACAAUGGGCGCAAGCCUGAUGCAGCCAUGCCGCGUGUGUGAAGAAGGCCUUCGGGUUGUAAAGCACUUUCAGCGGGGAGGAAGGCGGUGAGGUUAAUAACCUCAUCGAUUGACGUUACCCGCAGAAGAAGCACCGGCUAACUCCGUGCCAGCAGCCGCGGUAAUACGGAGGGUGCAAGCGUUAAUCGGAAUUACUGGGCGUAAAGCGCACGCAGGCGGUCUGUCAAGUCGGAUGUGAAAUCCCCGGGCUCAACCUGGGAACUGCAUUCGAAACUGGCAGGCCAGAGUCUUGUAGAGGGGGGUAGAAUUCCAGGUGUAGCGGUGAAAUGCGUAGAGAUCUGGAGGAAUACCGGUGGCGAAGGCGGCCCCCUGGACAAAGACUGACGCUCAGGUGCGAAAGCGUGGGGAGCAAACAGGAUUAGAUACCCCGGUAGUC
This 465-nucleotide ribosomal RNA is filed under the name uncultured Klebsiella sp. RNAcentral describes it as "bacterial SSU rRNA". It matches the Rfam family "Bacterial small subunit ribosomal RNA", at positions 338 to 795 of the family's 1533-position model. Lineage: Bacteria; Pseudomonadati; Pseudomonadota; Gammaproteobacteria; Enterobacterales; Enterobacteriaceae. The record is from RNAcentral.